Non-coding RNA from Ictidomys tridecemlineatus (thirteen-lined ground squirrel), 842 nucleotides. The record is from the annotation of a RefSeq genome assembly. NCBI's taxonomy places the organism in Eukaryota, Metazoa, Chordata, Mammalia, Rodentia, Sciuridae.
UGUGGGCAUGCGCGCAUGAGUGCGCACGCAUGUUCCCUUGCUUGCUUGCUUGUUUGCUUGCUUGUUUGCAUGUGUGUUCAAAGCAAAGGAUUGAGUUUGCUGCUGACUGGGUAAAAUCGAGACUCUGGGAGGGGACUGGAAGACUAGAUAAGUGUUCAAUAAUGGGAACUCUUCUCACUGAGGGAUUUGGCUCCUUUUUAGGUGCCAGAGCUGUGCCUCCAGUGAUCCCAAUAAGGAAGGAAGAUGCAGAAACUCCUGGGAGUGUGUUUGGUGACUCUGUGGCUUCAGUUGGCCAGGGUGAACAGCCAACAAGAAGAAGAUAGUCCUCGGAUCCUGAGUGUCCAGGAGGAUGAAAAUGCCACCAUGAACUGCAGUUAUAAAACUAGUACUACCACUCUGCAGUGGUAUAGACAGGAUUCGGGUAAAGGUCCUGCUUUGGUGAUCUUAAUACGUUCAAAUGAGAAAGAAAAACACAGUGGAAGACUAACAGCCACCCUGGACACCUCCUCCCAAAGAAGCGUCCUGUCCAUCACGGCUUCCCAGGCUGCAGACGCAGCCACUUACUUCUGUGCUACAGAUGCACAGUGAUCAGCAGGCACCUGCAGCCCUAACGCAACCCUGCCAGGGCUGCUUCCCAGAAGCCCUGACCAUGGGUGGACUUGGUGGUUUCACAUCCUCCAUGCAGUGGGAAGAAAGUCCGUUCAGAUUUGUGGGGGUUUUUUGAAGCAUUUUGGAAUAGUCAUGAGAUAUGUAAAGGGAACAGCAAUGCCAGGCUCACCUCUGCCCAUCUUGGCUCAUCCUCAGUGUAGGUGCCUUCUCCAGCCUCACUUGACUUGAAGGAU